GACGAACGCUGGCGGCGUGCUUAACACAUGCAAGUCGAACGGAAAGGCCCUGCUUUUGUGGGGUGCUCGAGUGGCGAACGGGUGAGUAACACGUGAGUAACCUGCCCUUGACUUUGGGAUAACUUCAGGAAACUGGGGCUAAUACCGGAUAGGAGCUCCUGCUGCAUGGUGGGGGUUGGAAAGUUUCGGCGGUUUGGGAUGGACUCGCGGCUUAUCAGCUUGUUGGUGGGGUAGUGGCUUACCAAGGCUUUGACGGGUAGCCGGCCUGAGAGGGUGACCGGCCACAUUGGGACUGCGGUACGGCCCAGACUCCUACGGGAGGCAGCAGUGGGGAAUAUUGCACAAUGGGCGGAAGCCUGAUGCAGCAACGCCGCGUGCGGGAUGACGGCCUUCGGGUUGUAAACCGCUUUCGCCUGUGACGAAGCGUGAGUGACGGUAAUGGGUAAAGAAGCACCGGCUAACUACGUG
RNAcentral lists this ribosomal RNA (468 nucleotides) under uncultured bacterium. RNAcentral's name for it is "partial 16S ribosomal RNA". It matches the Rfam family "Bacterial small subunit ribosomal RNA", at positions 28 to 507 of the family's 1533-position model. The record is from RNAcentral.